UUCUCUUUCCGAGUUUCAUGGUAAAAGCUCAUGAAUCAGAUUAGAAGGAUUAUUUCUGUUACAUAUACCGUUUUUGUUACAUAUACCCUUUUUGUUACAUAUACCCUUUUUGCAGGGAAAUUUCUUUCUGAGAAUUCAGGGCUCACCAUGGAAGGAGCCAAAGGUUCUCACUCAAAUGUUUAUCAUUAAAAAAAGAGAAAUUACUUAUAAUGACUCAGAUUAUACUUGAAAUGACUAGAAUAACUCAUCAACUUUUGCAAUUACUAGACUAACUCAUAUGACUAAUGAAAGUACUAAAAACCCAUCCUUCCUUUUCAUAUUCACUUUUUUUUUUGGUUUUUUUUUUUGAAAUUUCUUUUCAUAUUAGAUAAUUAUUUUAUUUUCCCCUAAAAAGAAUCCUCAAUCUCUCGUUAUCCUCUCCGACGAAAGAAACGUCGAAGACGAAGGAGGGUUCUCUUCACUUCCGUCUCCGGUGAACUCUCCUCUGGGACAGGCUCCUUCCGUUUCGUCAUCUCCACCUCAACUCGCUGUCGUCUGUCAUACAAAAAGAACCCUAAAUCCGAUUUUACUUUUUUGUCAAAAUCCACCUUUCAAUCUAAGAAAAUUGAACCUGGAUGUUUCAGACAGAACAUAAUUGGCGUUACUAUCUAUGCUUCCUUAGGAGAGGAUGCUUUGAUUUACUCACUCAAUGUGGUUGGUGUGUAAGUUUGUUUUUGUUACGUGAAUUACAGGGAUGUUUCAGACAAACCAAUGCCUCGAGGGGAGAUUGUGGUAGGUGAUAACUGUGUAACAGCAGGUUACUUCAACAAUCAAUCAAAAACCGAUGAGGUUUACAAGGAAGUUAAGCAGAUGCAGCUUUGUUUCAAGUAAUUACGUUGACAACAUUAUGGUACACACAGACCCAAUGAACAGCUACUGUGUAACUCUUGUUGUAGCAUCAUACGGAGCAUUAAAGAAAUGGGGCAGAGCAAGCAGGAGUUAAAUACAGCGACUUCUCUGAGCUAUGCGAGAACGGUGAUGCAGUAAACGAGGUUCAACAAUCUCUUACCAAGGCGGCAAAGCUAGAAAAAUUUCAUGUACUUAGGGUUUUGACUUUACUUUUACUAAUAAAGUUUGAUCAUGAUGGGGUUGUUUUCUCCCCUUUUAAUACACUAAUUUUCAUUCCAACUUUUAUAUAACGGAGCAAUUUAAGAGAGUAAAAUCAGUGUGGGUACUCAAUAAAGAUAUGCAAGGACAUGAUGAAGUAGUCACCAUCAAUCGAAUUGUGAUAGUGAGCAUUGACAUUUGCUAUUUGGGUCAGAUGGUGCAGAAUCAUCAAUCACAUAAUCCUACAAAGAAUUAUACCCAUUCAUGCGACUGCAACAAGAGUUAGUGCAGUAGUUACUUUUAAUAUCUGGACAUUCAAAGGUCAUUGUCCAAGUUCAGCCACCUCAAAAGGACAGGCGAGUUUUACUGUAGAAUGAACGAAAGGGAUCAAAAAAUUAGCCUAUAUAAUGUAUACCGAGACUUCAACUCUCUAUAACUCUGCAACAACGGAAGCCAUUUGGUACAAAGGAAGCCAACUUGAUAAUAAAAGAAAAGAGGGAUGAAAGAGAUGACGACAAUAACAAAAAAAAUUAGACAUAAUUCUGAUCUGAAUAACACUAAAAAUAAACCAGAUUCGAAAUUAAGAUAAACCGGAUAUAAUUUAUUAAAUUAUGUUUGGUUUAUACAAACCAAGAUUUCUGUCAAAAAGUCUGCCACCACGUAAAAUAAAAAGUCUACCAACCAUUUUAAGUCGGAUAUAUAAAUCUGUCAUAAAAAAACAAGUCGUACAUAAGAAAAUAAGUCGGUAUAUACGAAAAUAAGUUGACCACAAAAAUCGAUCAUUUGUAACAAAUCUGCCACUUCAUUCGCCAGACAUAUUCUUAAAAAUCUGUUUUCUAUCCAAAUCGUACAAUUAACUCUAUCGUGGUAAUAAAUCUGACGUUUCUAAGUAAGUCUGACACCACUUUAACGAUAGAUUUAUUUUUCUAAACAGAUUUUAUAAACAGAUUUAUUACUCGAUAGAUUUAUUUUUUUGAAAAUAAAUCUGCCGACGACCAAAUGGUAAGGGUACUUUGGUAAUAUUUUAUUUUUGUUAUAACUAUGGAUAAGGGCAAUUUCGACCAGAAAAAUAUUCUAAUAAUUUUUGAAAAAUAUGAGUCAUUCUAGUAAUAACACAAUUAAUUUGAGUCAUUUAAGUAACAGCAUAUAGAUCUUGAUGAAGAUAAGCUUGUGAUCUCUGGGGUAGUAGUCACCUCUAGGCGGUAGUUAAAUGCUUUAUAGAAGAUUAUUGUUUAGGUGGACACUUAGACCGAUUCUUUGAACGCUUAGGCCGAUUUUAAAAAAAAUUGUUCUGAAAAAAUAGUUUUGUUUAGUCCUAGACCGAUAUUUAGAACACUGAUAGUGACAAACUUCAUCAUCCCAUGGGUCUAGUAACGGAGCUGAAGUAAACGUAGUAACUGAUAAUGCGAAGUUAACGUCGAAUUCUGAGAAUACUCGUUAUUUUAGCCUUUUUAACAUCUGUUGAAUUCUCAAUGAAUGCCCAGAAAUAAAAGGAAUCAAGAAUUGUUUAACACAAAGCUCUUUUAUAAAUCAAUAAUUAAAAGUUGUGACUUUUACAAAUCAAGAGCUCAUUAUUUAUAUCUAUAAGAAAAAAACCUAAGUCCUUAAGGAUUAGUAUCUAACUUUUUAUCCUAAUUAAAGUCUUUAAUCAUUCUCUUUCUAAAUAGUAAAAAUACUAAUGUUUAUCUAGAACAAGAAUAAAAGGAAACUAUAAAACCAAAAGCUCAAUAGAAAUAAGAUGCUACGCUGCAUAAGGUCAUCCGGGGUUGAAAAAAUUCGUCCUCGAAUCGUAAAGCCCACCAUUCGCAACCAACAGAACAUGGCACAUUAUUGUGAACACGCCAGAGCAAAGAAACUCAGCAUGAACUAAAAACUGGUGACAUGCAUUAGCAUCCAACUUCUCAAAUACUUGUAGUGGUCCUAUCGUGGAAACUAUAAGCGUGUGAUAUGCAUGAUGAGAAAAAUGAUUCUUGGCUAUCCUUGUAGAAAGCAAGUCAUCCAUUUUGAAUUGAAUUUUAUAGUGAAGCCGGUGUGCUGUUAGUGUGACUUAGGGAACGAAAUGCAUAGAUUUUCCUGAACCUACAUCGUAAGAAAGAUUGUGAACCCACAAAUUCAAUUCUUUUCCCAUGAUGAUGCGUACACGUUGGUGCCUCUCCUUGCUCAACUUGACCUCGCAGAAGUAAACCCGAUACGAUCCACAAAGGAAAUAAACACAUGCUUCUGUUAACCAUGAUCAAUAUAUUAAUCAUUCUGGACCUGAAAUUAGCAUCCUUAUGCCACAACCAUGACGUCACUGUAAGAGAGCGCUCCAAAUUGUGCUUUAUAAAUGACACAAUAGAACCCAAGGUGGAAUAUAGUGGUAGAGAAGAACAUCCAUGGCACUAUUUGUAACGUCGGAGGAAGGGACAAAAUCUGUUUGUGAACCCAUAGUGGAGAAGUAAAGAUAGACUCCGCAAUUUGAAAUACAUCAUACACCAUGAAACAGCUCACUGGAGACCCUUGAGAUGGAGGACACGUAAGGAUAGACACCUUACUUCGCAGUUCGAAAAGAAACACGCACCUCGUUACGUCGGCAAAGAGAAUCUCAUGAGCGUUCUUGUUAGGUAAUCGGUGUUGUGUUGUCUUGAAAAUAUUUAUCAAAACACCACAAACGAGCUGAUGAUUCAGUACUGAUCUUGUUAUAACCCGUACAACCAGGGAUAACUUAGUGGUUGACGACGGAAACACAGAAAAUAUGAGAAAUUUUAUAGCUGCUACACAAACAUGUUCAAAAUCUGAGUUAGAAUCUCCGAACAAGUUGCUUGAUUCACAAGCAAAGCCUCUCCAACCAAUAAUUGCCACUAAUAAGCAGCCUGAACCAACUUGUGGACGAUGCACAACCUCGAAUUUUCUCUUAGAUACUCCAUACUGUAGCUCAAUUUGUAACCACUGAGAAGAAAAGACUACCAACGGUACAGUUAUGUCCGUGUGAGAAAGAGGCCACACAACUGAAGACCGUAAUAUGUCGUACAUGGAGGCAACAUUCAUGUGGAUACACAGAGGCCAUAAUGCAGUUGAACAU
Brassica rapa (field mustard) is the source of this 4147-nucleotide long non-coding RNA. RefSeq lists it as uncharacterized. Lineage: Eukaryota; Viridiplantae; Streptophyta; Magnoliopsida; Brassicales; Brassicaceae. The record is from RefSeq and is a predicted model, not a curated record.